UCGUGCCAAAAUAAGGAUAGGAUUGCAUAUUGGGGUUACAUACACCGGGUGGGUGCGCUCAACGCGCCCCCACUGGAAUGACAGAGGACAAGGGGUUAGCUCCCGACUGGCCUCUAUUUGUCAAAAUGAGUAAACUAAGACUACUGUUGAUUGCUUCAAUCGACAUUAGCCUCGGGGACUACACCCAAUGGGUGCGCUCAGCGCGCCACCACUGGAAAGAUGGAAGAAAGGAAAGGGCUCCAUAGCCUACUGGAUUCUGUCG
This 262-nucleotide long non-coding RNA is filed under the name Hordeum vulgare. RNAcentral's name for it is "long non-coding RNA (HVUL_LNC019103)". The record is from RNAcentral. Lineage: Eukaryota; Viridiplantae; Streptophyta; Magnoliopsida; Poales; Poaceae.